AACGAACGCUGGCGGCAUGCCUAACACAUGCAAGUCGAACGAGACCUUCGGGUCUAGUGGCGCACGGGUGCGUAACGCGUGGGAACCUGCCCUUAGGUUCGGAAUAACUCCCCGAAAGGGGUGCUAAUACCGGAUAAUGUCUUCGGACCAAAGAUUUAUCGCCUUUGGAUGGGCCGGCGUUGGAUUAGCUAGUUGGUAGGGUAAAAGCCUACCAAGGCGACGAUCCAUAGCUGGUCUGAGAGGAUGAUCAGCCACACUGGGACUGAGACACGGCCCAGACUCCUACGGGAGGCAGCAGUGGGGAAUAUUGGACGAUGGGCGAAAGCCUGAUCCAGCAAUGCCGCGUGAGUGAUGAAGGCCUUAGGGUUGUAAAGCUCUUUUACCCGGGAUGAUAAUGACAGUACCGGGAGAAUAAGCUCCGGCUAACUCCGUG
RNAcentral lists this ribosomal RNA (433 nucleotides) under uncultured bacterium. RNAcentral describes it as "partial 16S ribosomal RNA". It matches the Rfam family "Bacterial small subunit ribosomal RNA", at positions 29 to 507 of the family's 1533-position model. The record is from RNAcentral.